Molecule: non-coding RNA, 375 nt
Organism: Sus scrofa (pig)
Lineage: Eukaryota; Metazoa; Chordata; Mammalia; Artiodactyla; Suidae
Source: RefSeq, a predicted model, not a curated record
CCAUUUGUAAAAUGUUCCCUUUCUUGCCGCUAUGAUUUGUAAGCACUGCUCUACUAUAGAAAGUAGUUCUUUUAUUCUGUGCUCAGCAGCUUUAUUUAUAAUUGUCGAAGCCUAGAAGCAACCAAGACCUCCUUUAGCUGGUGAAUGGAUAAACUUUGAUACAUCCAGACAAUGGAAUAUAACUCAGCACUAAAAAGAAAGUCUUGCUCAAAUAAGUAUCAAUAACCAACCACAUAAAGACAGCAACCUUCAGAGCCUCAAAAAGAUAAACACUGGGGAAUGGAUCUCAAAAUUAUUUCUUCAUAUAUCAAUAAACUGAUUUCUUUCAAUCUUUUUUUUUUUUUUUGUCUUUUGUCUUUUUGUUGUUGUUGUUGU